RNAcentral lists this ribosomal RNA (486 nucleotides) under Actinomyces sp. oral taxon 448. Its description in RNAcentral is "bacterial SSU rRNA". It matches the Rfam family "Bacterial small subunit ribosomal RNA", at positions 28 to 493 of the family's 1533-position model. The record is from RNAcentral. Lineage: Bacteria; Bacillati; Actinomycetota; Actinomycetes; Actinomycetales; Actinomycetaceae.
GACGAACGCUGGCGGCGUGCUUAACACAUGCAAGUCGAACGGGCCUGCCUGGCUUUGGUUGGGUGGGUGAGUGGCGAACGGGUGAGUAACACGUGAGUAACCUGCCCUCUUCUCUUGGAUAACUGCUUGAAAGGGCGGCUAAUACGGGAUGUUCUGGCUGCCUCGCAUGGGGUGGUUUGGAAAGAUUCGGCCUGGUUUUGGUUGUUUUGGUGGGGGAUGGGCUCGCGGCUUAUCAGCUUGUUGGUGGGGUGAUGGCCUACCAAGGCGGUGACGGGUAGCCGGCCUGAGAGGGUGGACGGUCACACUGGGACUGAGACACGGCCCAGACUCCUGCGGGAGGCAGCAGUGGGGGAUUUUGCACAAUGGGCGCAAGCCUGAUGCAGCGACGCCGCGUGAGGGAUGGAGGCCUUCGGGUUGUGAACCUCUGUCGCCGGUGAUGUAGGCUCUGCUUUGUGGGUGGGGGGGACGGAGCCGGGGAUGAAGGCC